Molecule: long non-coding RNA, 510 nt
Filed under: Oryza sativa Indica Group (long-grained rice)
Lineage: Eukaryota; Viridiplantae; Streptophyta; Magnoliopsida; Poales; Poaceae
Description: lncRNA OsZS97_08G015320
Source: RNAcentral
AAGUGCAAACACUUGGAUAGAAGAGAGAGCGAAUUAGAGGCGACCAUCCCCUUUCUCUGCAAGAGAAGUUCACUCAGUGCACUUUACCGUCAAGUUGGUGCACCACACAUCCGCAUCGAAUGGAAGAUUCAAGGUCUAGAACUAUUCCUUCAUAUCAUUCUUUGGGAAGUGCUUGAUACUCCUCUUUUGAGAACCUCAUCUCAAGUGAAUUUCAGCCAACCUAGCAGCAGCACUCAACCUUCUCAUGCCCUUGUGCCAUCCAAUACAUACUUAGAAAACCCUUAUCCUAUGGCUAAACAUGUUGGUGUUGAUGAGCAAGGCAUGUACUUAGAUGAUGGUGAUGAGCAUGUUGUCAUGCUGAGAAAACUAGACUUCAAGGGGUUGUCAGUGAAGAAUCCAAGUAUGAAUCUUAGGAUGGACGUACAUGAGGAUAAAUCUCAGGAUGGACUUGAGGAUGAAUCUCAGGAUGAUUGUGUGGAUGAAUCGAUGGUAUCAGAUGGAAUACCAUAA